Molecule: RNA transcript, 7645 nt
Organism: Talpa occidentalis (Iberian mole)
Lineage: Eukaryota; Metazoa; Chordata; Mammalia; Eulipotyphla; Talpidae
Gene: AAGAB
Gene name: alpha and gamma adaptin binding protein
Exons: 17
Source: RefSeq, a predicted model, not a curated record
ACAGCCCGAGGCGGAAGCGGCGCCCGGGAAGAAGCGGCUGGACAGCGCAGCUAUGGCUGCCGGGGUUCCCUGCGCGCUGGUCACUAGCUGCUCUCCCACCUUCAGCGGAGACCGGCUAGUUCAACAUAUCCUUGGAACAGAAGAUGUUAUUGUGGAAGCGACUGCCAGUGAUGCUGUGAGAUAUUAUCCUUGGACCAUUGAUAAUAAAUACUAUUCAGCAGAUAUCAAUCUAUGUGUGGUACCAAACAAAUACCUCGUCACUGCAGAAAUUGCGGAAUCUGUCCAAGCAUUUGUGGUUUAUUUUGACAGCACACAGAAAUCUGGUCUUGAUAGUGUCUCCUCUUGGCUUCCACUCGCAGAAGCAUGGUUACCUGAGGUGAUGAUCCUGGUUUGUGACCGAGUGUCUGAAAGUGGUGUUAACAGACAAAAAGCUCAAGAAUGGUGUAUCAAACAUGGCUUUGAAUUGGUAGAACUUAGUCCAGAAGAGUUGCCUGAGGAGGAUGAUGACUUCCCAGAAUCUACAGGAGUAAAGCGAAUUGUUCAAGCCUUGAAUGCCAAUGUCUGGUCCAAUGUCGUGAUGAAGAAUGAUAGGAACCAAGGCUUUAACCUUCUCAGCUCACUGACUGGGGCAAACCAUAGCAUUGCGUCAGCAGAGAACUGUCACUCAGAGCAGCCUUGUUUGCCAGCAGCAGAUAGGACUGAAUCCCUCUUGGAUCAUCAAGGAGGUGCAUCUAAUACAACAGACACUCAGGUUGAUAGUACUGUGGAUCCCAUGUUAGAUCUGGAUAUUCAAGAACUAGCCAGUCUUACUACUGGUGGAGGAGAUUUGGAGAAUUUUGAAAGACUAUUUUCCAAGUUAAAGGAAAUGAAAGACAAAGCUGCGACGCUUCCUCAUGAACAAAGAAAAGUUCAUGCAGAAAAGGUGGCCAAAGCAUUCUGGAUGGCAAUUGGGGGAGACAGAGAUGAAAUUGAAGGCCUUUCAUCUGAUGAAGAACACUAAAUUAUUCAUACUAGGCUUUGACUAACAGAUUCUCACUCUCUCUAUGUGAGCUGCUACCCUGUUCACCUAGUUAUAGUUUGCUGAAAUUUCCAUUAUGUUGGGCGCCUGACUUAUUUAUAGGGUUCCCUUAAUUUUUGUUGUUAGUGGGGAGAUGAUGGAGAAAUCUUUUCUCUCUUCAUACAUUGUGAGGGAGUAAGGAAUAUAAAAGACAAUACAGAGUGAGAAUUUUUUCAAAUACACUUUUUUGUUCUCGGAACAGGAGUCAAAUGAAGCUCAUAGGUCUGUGUGAUUUUCCCAAGUGAGAGAAGAAGAAGAGCACCAAGCCAUUCCUUGUCAGUCAUUUAAAUAGCAUUUCCUGCAUCCACGCUUGAUUGCUACACAUCAGGAGUUUGUGUCCCCUUUCUGUAUGUCCUGGAUUUUUUUUUUCAAGGCGCUUGCUGCGCUGCACUCUGAUGUGCUUCACGGGAAGAAAGGUCAGAUGCGGAUUUGGUUUGUGCUGUAGUGUGGGGGUGAAAGGAGUCAAAUCAGUGGUCCGCUAGUUAAUUUCUAGCUAAACAACUGCUUUGCAGCAUUUUAUUGAAAAUACAGUGUCUGAGCUCAUGCUAGAGAGCAUUAAGAAACCAGUGUGAAUUUUUAGACUACAAUAUGAUGCAAAGGUUUCCUGCUCUGGUAGGGAUAAUUUGCAAGUUGUGGGGGGUUUUGUGUGUGUAAGAGGGAGAUCCUUAAGGAAUUCCCUUUGUGGGCCAUGGCAGCAGCAGAAUGUGAUGACAUACUGAGAUAGGUGGGUAAUAUUACCAUGAAGAGACUCUUUAGUCACUAGAGUCCCCUCCUGCUACUUGGGAUGUCACAGCUGUGUUGUCACACUUUAUGCCCUCAGAACUAUGCCCCCUCUUUGCUCUGAAAGCCAAACUGAGGUCACUGCUUAAAUAGUAAUACCAGGAGUAGCCGAGGUGAGAAGGGAUGUCAAACAUUAGGCAAUGAAUCCCUGAGUGACUGGUGAUAACUCCAGGGUUGGUAGCUCCUCCAAGGCCGAGUGGGUCAACUCCAGGGAAACUGAUCACCACAGGGAAAAUUUUCAAAGGAAGCAUGGAAAAUACAGCAAAUAAAAAUCCUUAUUUCUGUUUUUAUAGACACUUUGUAAUGCAUGUCAUUAACCUUCACUGCGGCAAGUCGUCACCAUUGCUCUCAGUUGGCACAGGGCACCGGGUUGCUUGGACUGUCCUAGCACGCAGACUGCUUCUGACCUAGUGUGAGCUGUGAGCCCCUUUGGUUCCCCGGCAGAAACACAUUCCAGGCCCCUUUGUGCACCACCUUCUAAACACUGAAAAGCCAGCAGAGGAAUGAAAUGCCCCGGGUGCUGGGUCAGAGCCACUCUGGGAGGGAAGGGGUCAGCGACUAGAACAUUCAGGAAGUGCCAUUCAGGGCAUGUUGGAGGUUAUCUUGCUUGAUGGUAUUUUUUUCCCUCCCUCCUCACCUUUUUCAAAGCUAUUCUAAAGGUCUUUAAGACUCAACGUUUUUGAGACUCCAUCAGUAUUUCCUUGAGGUGAUGUUGUUCACUUUGAUUAGGAAUGUAGGAAAACUGGCUCUGGGGUUGCAAAAUGGAAGGUGGAGCACAUUUUUCUUAAAAUAUGAAAGGUUUUAGAAAAUAUGAGGUCACAUGGUUAGGGAAAACAGACUAGAAAAGACUGAACUUGAUUGUGUGUAUUAAAAAACAGAUGAUUAAAAUAUGAUUGAUUUAUAAAUUUGGAGUAUCCAUAUGAUGAUUUGUUUUUUAAUAGGGGAUGUGGGAAGCCUUAGAUCUUUCACUGGAUUAGGCAUAAAUAGUGAAUAAUCUAAGAGUUCGUCACACUCUGUUUUGGACUCCAUCCUGCAGAUGUAUAAUAUCAACUGUUUUCAAGACCUCAGCUCUCUGGGGGUCUCGGCCCCUUGUAGGGGACGUGUGGGAUAAAGUAUCCAGUGAUAUGUGCUAAAGACCCUGUUGAGAACAGUGAUCCCAAUACUAAUACUGGAGUAAAGGCUGCAGUUUAGAGUGACCUUCAUGCUGCCACAAGGUUUCGUGAACUGUCCAUCUGGGAUUUAAAAUGUGAGAUGGUUUUUUUGUCUUCUUGAACAUUUCUUUGUGUGAUACAGUGUCUGGCACAUAACAGGCUCUUAAUUGUGGUUUGGGCCUAUAUGUUUAAUAAUUUGCUGAAUAUGAUCACAUAGUUUGAAAGUCUGUAAGUGUUGGAAGGUAGGGAGAGAUAAGAAUAAACUUGUCCCUGAGAAAAUCAUGUUAUGUAAUAAUUUUAGAGUGAUGAGGACAUCGCGAUUUUUAUAAUUUUAAAAUAUGUUUUCCUGCCAGAGUAUAAGAUUGACAGAACCAGUUUGUUCUCUAUUUAUAGAACUUGGCCACAUCUAAUUGAAAGAAGCUAGAGAUUCAGGGGAGCUAGACUGGAUGGCUGAGUAAUAUGGGAUGUGGUUCAAACACCAUAGAGCAUGUCAGGCCAUCACUGCAAACUACUUUUAACAGGUGAAAUGUGAUAUAUGGAUAAUUUCAAGUUCCCACGGUGGAGAGAUGGGGCUAAACAUUUUUACCAUGACUGAUCCCCUUAACCUUCAGCCAGUGUCUUGACAAUGGCCAUCGAGAGAACACGUGGAAUGCUCCUUGCCCUGCCUUGGCCUGUGUGGAAAAACAGUCUUAGAAGAAUCACUGUCUAAGGGUAAGAUGAGAGCUCACAAACUAUUCUGAGCUUGAGUGUUUGCUGAUGUGGAGCUAAACUUAGCAAACAUGUGUCUAGUGUGGUCAGAGGUUCUGAUUCAUUGAACGUUCUGAUUGAUGGAGACAGAUUUCCAGAGACUGCUGUAAUGAGUUAGUUGCCCUUCACUCCCCGAAAUUUUAAAGUAGAUAGUUCAGCUAUCGCGUUCUAUCAUUUAAUGCCAACUCUUAUUAGAGGACUGUAGGUAAAGAAAGUGCAAAAAAAUCCAGUCACGUGGACUCAACUCAGGAGCUCCUUACUACAGGAUCAUUUUACAAACAACACCCUAUUAACUUUCCCAUAAUUUGUGUGACUUCUAAAGGUAGAAUGCUGACUUGGGCAGGGCAUAUUCCAGUUUAUUUAGAUUCCCCUUGGGGCUUAGUGUAGUGAUCCAUCCUGGCACUUCUUAUAUGUAAGCUCUUGAAGAAAGGGUCUUAGAAAUUUCCAGUGUUUCACAUUUGGGGGAUUACUUAUGCCUGUUAUUAACAUCUUAAUUCAUGCAGAUCCCUGUAUUCUGAAUUACCUGUGCUGCAUUAUGGUUCCUCCUGCAUCAGAGUGUCUUUCUCGAUUUCUGAGGUGUUUCUCUGAUUUGCCGAAUGAAGAAUUAAGAAGAGGGGUAAUAGCAACAGCGUGGGCUUUUUGUUGAAACCCCGCAGAGCCCCACUCCAGCUGUUAAUAUUUACAGUUCUACUUUGUUUCCUGUUGGAAAGGUAUUGAUUCAAAAUCUGGACCUAAUGGUUAUUACUGCAUCUUUGGAACACAGGUUUGGAAAGAAAUUUUCCUUUGAGACCUUUUUCUCUCUGUCCAUCUGUUUAUAGGCUCAGACCCCCUCCACAACUACACACACAACUGUUUGACCAGCCCCACUCAUUUUCUCCUUUGAAGGAUGUGACCAAUCAUUGCUUUUUCCCCUUUCUUUUUAGCAACCAGGUGGCUUUAUGCUACAAAAAUGUGGGCUAACGCAGCCUCUACAGCGCCAGUUCAAUCCCCGGCCACCAGCGAGGGUCCCACCAAAAAAAAAAAAAAAAAAAAAAAAUACGUGGGCUAAGUGAGGCCUGGGGUAGGAAUUUUAUGGAAACAGCAAUGCAAUUUAGCAGAGAGAAGAUUCUCUUCACCUGAAGCUCAAGGCUGUGGUCUAAACCAAUCCCCAGGAUGCCGUUAAUGGUGUUAGAAGUCCUCAAAUGAAAUUGAGAAAAUGCAGCUGUAAUCACUUCCAUUACCUUGGUGAGAGCUGAAGCAAGGAUUCAGGGUCCAACCAACACUGACUGUGAACCCUCAUGGUGCCAGACUGUGCCAGGUGUGGCAGAGGCUGCAGACUUGGCCAUCAAGGGCAGAGGAGGUGAGGGCCACACGACAGCGCAGAGACAUCAGCAGCGGGACUUGUGCAGUGGCUGGACAUGGUGAGCAAGCAACACACCAUUUAGGAGACCAGGACCCCCGCUCUCGUGUAAGGACUGGCUGGCACUGCGUGUUGCCCUUGGUAUUAAAAGGUCAGGCUGGCUGAGAAGUGAAGGUCAUCGACCUCCUCCACCGUCUAUCCCCCACCCAAACACACCAGAACGAGUCCAGAGCAGCCCUCUUGUGACAGCAGCAGUGGCGGUGAAUGACCACCGGGGUGAAGGCCUCACCUGAUCCGGAUCUUUCUGUGCACAUUUGUCUGCUCUUCUCACCCACUGGCGAAGCAGCUGAGCUCCUUACAAGGGUGAGUAAAAGCAUUUAGCCCUGGAAUAUUCCAAAACUCGAGGAAAGAUAGAGAAAAAUGAAAACUAAGCACAAGACCUGUGCUAUAGCUCAUUCCAAUACAUUUACAACGAUUUAAAAAAAAAAAUCAUCACCACCAUCAAUGAAAGGCUGGAACCAGGCAAACGUGAGGAUAAUGGAGACGUCUGCCAGCGGCCAUGCCUGCGUGUGCUCCUCCUCAGGAUGCCUGGAGAACAGCCCUCCUACCUGGAAAGCUCAAGGCUAGAGCUUCAGAAGCACAGGAUCCUGCAGGUUGGAGCCACUUUGGCGGAGAACAGUUUCUUCUUGGUAACGGUUUAAUAACCCACAUCUUCAGGGCCAUUGGAGUCCCCAAGACAGAGACGGCGCCUCACAGGGGAUAGGAACGAUGAGGUGAAGACAACUCCCUGGCAAGGGCUGACCCAAAUCGUCUGCCCAGAGGAAGGGGAAGCAGCUGAGGGCACAGGUCUAGACAGUCCCUACAGGCUGCUUCCCCUCUGUGGGCCUGCCUUCUCCAGCCACACAGCACCCUCGCCCAGGGUUGUGGGGAGCAGUGUGUGUUUACAAACACUUGAGAAACUGAAGUGCCGGCGAACUCUAUUCCAUAUCUUGCCGGACUCGGCCUUUCCCAUGAAGCUGCAUGUCCCUGCUCACGAGGGUGAGGGCAGGCCUGGCUCAUCUCUACACUCUGCUCUGGCCAUGGGGCCCCAGACCUGACCUGUAUUCCGCGCCCCAGCCUUUGACGAAGCUCAUGCGGAUGGUGCACAUUCGUGUCAGCUGGUAGACGGCCUCGAAGCCCUGGUUGACAGACUGAGCCAGGAGGGCGGCAAACUCCUGGUUGUUGAAGAUCUUCAGGUUGCAUCCUGCCAACAAAACAAAAAGUGCACUUGUGGGGAUGGAAGGAUGGACAAGUCCGAUGCUACCCUUCUGGCUAAAGGCAUCCCUGGACCACCUGGAACGUGACGAUGCGCACGGCUGGGGUGACACGGUGGUGGGUUACGCUGGCCACAAACUGCAUCCCCAGCACCAUGAUGAGGAUGGGGAGAUGGGGUGGGGGUGUCGAGUGCUGAAAAGACUGUAAAGUGGUUCCUGAGAACAAAGAGGCCAAGGCACGAUAUGAGGGGACAGGGAGAAGGGCCCCCCAGCACCAUCCACCCAGGCUCUGCCAGAAGUGUGCUGGGGCCAGGAGGAGGGAGAGCUGGGCCACAUUUUGGCCUCUGGGCACAAAGCUGGGUCGGUGUGACUUUCAACACAAACUGAAGGUGUGUCUAAUUCUCUAGGCAGUAAAACUGGAGACAGGCACAAAUAAAGUUUAAAAUAAAUCCCAUAUGAAGCUCUACCACCUGAGUGCCAGGAAUGUGUCAACCAGAAAAAUAAAGACAAAAGCACAUGCCAGAAAUGCCCCAAAGGUGAGCUGAGGUGACACAGACCCACACUGGGAUCUGCUCUUGCUGUACGAUUCUGGCGUGGUUGGCCACUUCCUCUUCAUAAGCCUCUGUCUCCAUAAAAAUGAGAGGCUGGCCUCCCAGGUCCUCCUGGCUCUGACUUUGAGCUCAAACCACCACAGCCAGCUCGGUCCUCACCAGAAAGAUGGGGGAGGGGUCAGGAAAGGAGCAGGCAGAAUGCCAAGGUGGCAACUGAGUUUCUGCUUCUCGUUUUCUCUAAGGGGAAGUGUGGUGAGGCUGGGCCACAGGGGGUUUGGCCCCCAGCAGAACCAAAAAGCAGAGGCGCACUCGAUUCCAGAGUUUCAGUCAGGCCUAGUGGCUUACCCUGGCUAAGCCACUUGCCACUUAUUAGCUAUGUGUCUGUGGGCAGGUGGCUUACCCUCUCAACUUGUCUCAGCAUGCCCCCUCACCUGGAGAGCCAGAAUAAGAGAAGAGGACUGAGUGAGCAGAGCUAUAAAUGUACUCUGAACGCAACCCUGCCAUGCUCUGAAAGGUCAAGCACUAUUACUUCAGACUUCUGCACUCUAAGUUGACUGUGCCGUGGACCAUUGUUCCACCAUCCUCUGCGAGGGCAGGAAAGGACAUGUCUCACGUGGUCACUGGCUUGACCCGAGCGCCCCUCUAUCAGCCAGUCUCAGUUCAUGUUCUGGACUGCACACCCAGUGGCUGCAGGCCACGUGAGCAGGCUGUGGCUGGGACAUUCUGCCUCGGUUUGUUUUUUUUUUUUUAAUAUUAAAUUUUUAUUG